UACGUAGGGGGCAAGCGUUGUCCGGAUUUACUGGGUGUAAAGGGAGCGUAGACGGCUGUGCAAGCCAGAUGUGAAAGCCCGGGGCUCAACCCCGGGACUGCAUUUGGAACUGUGUAGCUGGAGUGUCGGAGAGGCAGGCGGAAUUCCUAGUGUAGCGGUGAAAUGCGUAGAUAUUAGGAGGAACACCGGCGGCGAAGGCGGCCUGCUGGACCGUAACUGACGUUGAGGCUCGAAAGCGUGGGGAGCAAACAGG
Molecule: ribosomal RNA, 253 nt
Filed under: uncultured bacterium
Lineage: Bacteria
Description: partial 16S ribosomal RNA
Rfam family: Bacterial small subunit ribosomal RNA
Source: RNAcentral